Molecule: RNA transcript, 2611 nt
Organism: Spodoptera frugiperda (fall armyworm)
Lineage: Eukaryota; Metazoa; Arthropoda; Insecta; Lepidoptera; Noctuidae
Gene name: CLIP domain-containing serine protease HP8-like
Exons: 9
Source: RefSeq, a predicted model, not a curated record
CAAGUUUCCAAUGAAUUAAGACGUGCAGUGUUGUUUUUAAAUAAAGAGGUUUACUACAAAGAAGAAUUAAUAAAAAGUGAUGAAGAAAUGGUCACAGUAGAUGUAGUGUAAGAUUUGGUGGUGGUAGAUUUUAAGUUGACUGUGAAUAGUGUGGAUAUAGAAGGGAAAGAUAUUAUUGCACAUCACACCACAUUGCCAAUUCAUCAUCGUCCACAAUGUUUUGGCUACUACUGUUCCUAAGCAUACCUGGUAGGUCGAACCAAGUGGGUAUAGUGGGCAAUCCACUAGCCCACGCUCGUCCCUGUUCAGACAAUACUGACAUAAUAGCCUCUUUUGAAUCCGGCUUACCACCAGGUGAAGAGAAUCAGUACUAUUUAAACAUAAAUGGGAACAUACAGAAGCAUUCGCAAAUUAAUUUGAAGUUUGAUUCGGAUGCUACUGUUACUUUGUCAGAUCCAAUGAAGGCCCGAAUAACUGCGUCUACAAAUACAAAUGAUUUUAACGUGAGAUUCUUCAAAGGAUCUUCUCAUCUAAAUAUCCAUGUCAGAGGCCCAGCCACAGGCACCAUACCAUACGUCCAAAGCAUUAUACUAGACAAUGACGAAAUAUGUAACAAACCAACAUCUGGUUAUUUCGACUCACUCAUCCAAGGCGUGAAAGAUACAGCGGAGAUCACCCUGACAGUACCUGCUGAUGAAUCGUGUGGAAGGCGUAAGGUGGUACAUACAGAGCUGAUAGUCCACGGCCAGCCCACCAAGUCUGGAGACUGGCCCUGGCAUGUGGCUUUGUUCACAGUUCAAGGAAAUAUCGUCAAGUAUAUAUGUGGAGGGACUUUGCUGUCUAAGACUUUGGUUUUGACAGCUGCCCAUUGUGCAUCAGUUAGAGGCAACGCAGUGGUUCCUGAAUCUUUGAGCGUUGUUCUUGGGAAACAUAAUCUUAUUGGUGGAGAUAUAGCUCCGCAAGAGAGGGAGGUAUUCGAAAUCAUUCUUCACAAGGACUUUGACCCAAGAUCAUUGAACAACGACAUAGCUCUAUUGAAAUUGAAGUCCGAGGCAGUAUUUGAUGACUACGUUCAGCCAGCUUGCUUGUGGCAGUCCAGUCUCUACAAGAAACUGCCAAGUGGUGGCAUUUAUGGAUCGGUGGUAGGAUGGGGAUUCGACCAUCAAGACAUAUUAUCGACCACUCUGCAACAAAUAACUAUACCUAUCGUAUCGGAGGCGAAAUGUUUGAAGAGCAACCCAAUAUUCUUUCAUAAUAAACUUAAUACUAACAAGUUCUGUGCUGGAUUUGCUAAUGGGACGUCAGCCUGCAAUGGUGACAGUGGAGGUGGUCUGGUGAUCUUCGUGCCAGAUGUCCCCGGCGCCAAGACCCAAGAGUCUGGAGCUUGGCACGUCCGUGGCAUUGUAUCCACAACAGUCAGUCGGACUGACGCACCCAUAUGUGAUCCUAAUCAGAGCGCCAAGCACGAAUAACUAUCGCAUUCGUAAUGUAAACGUAUCGAGAUGACGAUACGUCAUGAGACGUUAACGGAGUGUGGCAGCACGAAGCCUAUUCUUUCAACUAUCGAGAGCUCGCAUCGAAUUCGAUAGUGACGUCAUGCUAAUGUAAACUAGAGAAGCAGCCAAGUGAACGAUUUGAAUGACUUAUUGAGCAUAAAGAUUUCGUCUGAAAACUAAAUCAAAUUUUAAAUAUAUUUCAAUCUUUGUCUACACGUUUUAUGACAUAAUAUUUAUUAAAUAAAUAUUAAUUAUGUGCAAAAAGUUCUUAAAGCGAGUUAAGAGAAAUAUAACGUGACAUUAUCUAUGAAAAAAAAAUAAGUACUUAGUUUCAUAAAUUUAUCAUUUUUUUAUGAUUUCCGAACGUCGUAUUUGACAUUUGUCAUUUGCCGGUUGUUUGUUUGUUAUUUUAUCUUAUGUAAAUAAAUAACAAUUUUAACAUGUUACAUUUAAAAUGAGGACGAUUCAACUCCAAUAUGAGCUAAUGGUGGAAUUUAUGCAAAAAUUGGAAUAUUUGUGGGACCAGUCCAAUAUUACUGGGAGCAGUGGGCCUACUGUAUUCCUACCACACCACUCACUGUUCCUCACGAAGCCUACCCUUCGCCAGCGCCUCCACCAACACCACCGAUCCUCCAUCCGAGGAAGAUAGCUGGAAUCCUCCACCAGUGAAAAAACCUAAAGCGAGUUUGAUUAAAAUGUGUAUAGAGAAUGACAAGAAUGCUAUGCUAGGGAGUGUGAGAAAAGUUAUUAUUUUUUAUUAGUUGAUUAUUUUUUGUUACUUACUGUUAAUUUUAUAUUUAUUUCAAUUUUUCUGUUUUUAUGUUAUUUUAAAAUAUUAUCAAAAUAUUGUUAAUGGCAUUGUAUUUAUAAUAAUUAUUCUAACUGUGUCAAUACUGUGAAUGUGGUGCAUGUCUAUAAUUGGCAUAAGCACAUGAUCUUGUGUCUUCAUCUUGUUUUUCAUUAAUGUCUUAUAAUAAUAAAUAAAUAAAUUAUAUAUUAUUGGGAUUAAGAUUAGAAUAAAAUAGUUUUUAAGUUAUUUAUAUAUGUAUAUACAUUUUAUUAACUAUAAAAAGAGGAUUUUGUAGAAAAAAGUAAUAAAACACUUGAAAUAACUA